AGGGAAUAUUGGUCAAUGGACGGAAGUCUGAACCAGCCAUGCCGCGUGCAGGAAGAAGGUCCUCUGGAUUGUAAACUGCUUUUGUCCGGGAAUAAAUCUGUCUUAAGAGGCAGUUGGAGGUACCGGGAGAAUAAGCACCGGCUAACUCCGUGCCAGCAGCCGCGGUAAUACGGAGGGUGCAAGCGUUGUCCGGAUUUAUUGGGUUUAAAGGGUGCGUAGGCGGCCUAUUAAGUCAGUGGUGAAAGCCGGUAGCUCAACUAUCGAAAUGCCAGUGAUACUGAUAGGCUUGAGUACAGUUGAGGUAGUUGGAAUGAGUAGUGUAGCGGUGAAAUGCAUAGAUAUUACUCAGAACACCGAUUGCGAAGGCAGAUUACUAAACUGGAACUGACGCUGAGGCACGAAAGUGUGGGGAUCAAAC
This 418-nucleotide ribosomal RNA is filed under the name uncultured bacterium. Its description in RNAcentral is "bacterial SSU rRNA". It matches the Rfam family "Bacterial small subunit ribosomal RNA", at positions 356 to 773 of the family's 1533-position model. The record is from RNAcentral.